Molecule: long non-coding RNA, 692 nt
Organism: Sebastes umbrosus (honeycomb rockfish)
Lineage: Eukaryota; Metazoa; Chordata; Actinopteri; Perciformes; Sebastidae
Exons: 3
Source: RefSeq, a predicted model, not a curated record
UAUUUUCCAUACAGGAGAUAAAUUAGGAGUUGAUUAAAAAGACAAAAAAAACGAAUGCAUUAAUAAACAAGUACAUUUAAAUAAAAGAUGUAGAUAUUUAAUUUAAAAUUGUUUCAUUUCAAGUGAGGUGAAUGUGCUUAAUGUGCUUAGUUUGUAACAUUUGUAAAGAUUCAGGUGACAUAGAGAGUUGAUAGAGCUGAAGUAGGUGAGUUCACGUGAUAAAUGCAUGAUACAAGGCUGAUAUACCUCAGCAGCCAAUCAGAACCAUGCUUACAGCGCCAAUUAACUAACAUGUCUCUGCAAAGUGGACAGAAACCUGGAGUUUGUGAGCCGUGCUCCAUCUCAAGUUGGAGUGUGUGUGCCUAAAAUUGAACUUUUCUGGCCGGGUCUUUUUCUUUCUCCUGUUUUAAGUUGGAUUUGAAGUUUUUCUGGAGUGUGGAUUUCUUCUGCUGCUCCUCUGUGCUACAACCGUGGUGGUAGAGUGCAGCAGUUGUGGCGAGCCGAGCUAUUUGAUGAGACGAUCCUGAGAGAUCUGAACUGUUAUUUUCAUCAUCAAUCCUGUGAGCGUGAUGGUGCCCUCUCCUGGAAAGAUAUCAUCUGUGAUGGAGACCUCCACGUCAUAAGUUCCGUCAUCAGAGAGUCGGAGGUUGUGGAGAAGCAGAGUCCCAUUCUCAAAUACCAGGAUGCGAUCA